AUUGAACGCUGGCGGCAGGCCUAACACAUGCAAGUCGAACGGUAACAGAAAGCAGCUUGCUGCUUUGCUGACGAGUGGCGGACGGGUGAGUAAUGUCUGGGAAACUGCCUGAUGGAGGGGGAUAACUACUGGAAACGGUAGCUAAUACCGCAUAACGUCGCAAGACCAAAGAGGGGGACCUUCGGGCCUCUUGCCAUCGGAUGUGCCCAGAUGGGAUUAGCUAGUAGGUGGGGUAACGGCUCACCUAGGCGACGAUCCCUAGCUGGUCUGAGAGGAUGACCAGCCACACUGGAACUGAGACACGGUCCAGACUCCUACGGGAGGCAGCAGUGGGGAAUAUUGCACAAGGGGCGCAAGCCUGAUGCAGCCAUGCCGCGUGUAUGAAGAAGGCCUUCGGGUUGUAAAGUACUUUCAGCGGGGAGGAAGGGAGUAAAGUUAAUACCUUUGCUCAUUGACGUUACCCGCAGAAGAAGCACCGGCUAACUCCGUG
Molecule: ribosomal RNA, 490 nt
Filed under: uncultured bacterium
Lineage: Bacteria
Description: partial 16S ribosomal RNA
Rfam family: Bacterial small subunit ribosomal RNA
Source: RNAcentral